UGUUAGCGGCGGACGGGUGAGUAACACGUGGAUAACCUACCUCAUAUCGACUUGGGAUAACUUCGGGAUACCGGAGCUAAUACCGGAUAAUAUCUUUGAACCGCAUGGUUCAAAAGUGAAAGACGGUCUUCGCUGUCACUUAUAGAUGGAUCCGCGCUGCAUUAGCUAGUUGGUAAGGUAACGGCUUACCAAGGCAACGAUGCAUAGCCGACCUCGAGAGGGUGAUCGGCAAACUGGAACUGAGACACGGUCCAGACUCCUACGGGAGGCAGCAGUCAGGGAAUCUUCCGCAAUGGGCGAAAGCCUGACGGAGCAACGCCGCGUGAGUGAUGAAGGUCUUCGGAUCGUAAAACUCUGUUAUUAGGGAAGAACAUAUGUGUAAGUAACUGUGCACAUCUUGACGGUACCUAAUCAGAAAGCCACGGCUAACUACGUGCCAGCAGCCGCGGUAAUACGUAGGUGGCAAGCGUUAUCCGGAAUUAUUGGGCGUAAAGCGCGCGUAGGCGGUUUUUUAAGUCUGAUGUGAAAGCCCACGGCUCAACCGUGGAGGGUCAUUGGAAACUGGAAAACUUGAGUGCAGAAGACCCCAAGUGGAAUUCCAUGUGUAGCGGUGAAAUGCGCAGAGAUAUGGAGGAACACCAGUGGCGAAGGCGACUUUCUGGUCUGUAACUGACGCUGAUGUGCGAAAGCGUGGGGAUCAAACAGGAUUAGAUACCUGGUAGUCCACGCCGUAUACGAUGCCCCGCCUAAGUGUUAGGGGUUUCCGCCCCUUAGUGCUGCAG
Molecule: ribosomal RNA, 782 nt
Filed under: uncultured Staphylococcus sp.
Lineage: Bacteria; Bacillati; Bacillota; Bacilli; Caryophanales; Staphylococcaceae
Description: bacterial SSU rRNA
Rfam family: Bacterial small subunit ribosomal RNA
Source: RNAcentral